CCACAUGACUCUCGGCAACGGAUAUCUUGGCUCUCGCAUCGAUGAAGAACGUAGCAAAAUGCGAUACCUGGUGUGAAUUGCAGAAUCCCGUGAACCAUCGAGUUUUUGAACGCAAGUUGCGCCCGAGGCCUCCUGACCGAGGGCACGUCUGCCUGGGCGUCACGC
RNAcentral lists this ribosomal RNA (165 nucleotides) under Dactyloctenium aegyptium. RNAcentral's name for it is "5.8S ribosomal RNA". It matches the Rfam family "5.8S ribosomal RNA". Rfam says of the family: 5.8S ribosomal RNA (5.8S rRNA) is a component of the large subunit of the eukaryotic ribosome. The record is from RNAcentral. Lineage: Eukaryota; Viridiplantae; Streptophyta; Magnoliopsida; Poales; Poaceae.